UAUCUCUAUAGUGUAAUGGAUUAACACGAAAGCCUACGAAGCUUUUAAUUCUGGUUCGAAUCCAGAUAGGGAUGUUCU
Molecule: transfer RNA, 78 nt
Filed under: Bacillus phage vB_BanS_Skywalker
Lineage: Duplodnaviria; Heunggongvirae; Uroviricota; Caudoviricetes
Description: tRNA-Arg
Rfam family: tRNA
About the family: Transfer RNA (tRNA) molecules are approximately 80 nucleotides in length. Their secondary structure includes four short double-helical elements and three loops (D, anti-codon, and T loops). Further hydrogen bonds mediate the characteristic L-shaped molecular structure. tRNAs have two regions of fundamental functional importance: the anti-codon, which is responsible for specific mRNA codon recognition, and the 3' end, to which the tRNAs corresponding amino acid is attached (by aminoacyl-tRNA synthetases). tRNAs cope with the degeneracy of the genetic code in two manners: having more than one tRNA (with a specific anti-codon) for a particular amino acid; and 'wobble' base-pairing, i.e. permitting non-standard base-pairing at the 3rd anti-codon position.
Source: RNAcentral